CCUACGGGAGGCAGCAGUGGGGAAUAUUGCGCAAUGGGCGAAAGUCUGACGGAGCGACGCCGCGUGAGGGAUGAAGGUCUUCGGAUCGUAAACCUCUGUCAGCAGGGAAGAACGGGCACUGUGCUAAUCAACAGUGAAUUGACGGUAUCUGCCAAGGAAGCCCCGGCUAACUCCGUGCCAGCAGCCGCGGUAAUACGGAGGGGGCGAGCGUUAAUCGGAAUUACUGGGCGUAAAGCGCUCGUAGGCGGUAUGUCAAGUCAGAGGUGAAAUCCCCGGGCUCAACGGGGGAAGUGCCUUUGAAACUGGGAAACUUGAGUGUAUGAGAGGAUAGUGGAAUUCCAGGUGUAGGGGUGAAAUCCGUAGAUAUCUGGAGGAACAUCAGUGGCGAAGGCGACUAUCUGG
This 402-nucleotide ribosomal RNA is filed under the name uncultured bacterium. RNAcentral describes it as "partial 16S ribosomal RNA". It matches the Rfam family "Bacterial small subunit ribosomal RNA", at positions 338 to 732 of the family's 1533-position model. The record is from RNAcentral.